RNAcentral lists this long non-coding RNA (691 nucleotides) under Homo sapiens (human). RNAcentral's name for it is "non-protein coding lnc-KMT5A-1:20". Lineage: Eukaryota; Metazoa; Chordata; Mammalia; Primates; Hominidae. The record is from RNAcentral.
AGGAACAUCCAAAUCUCCUCAGCGGUUAAACCGACCCCAAACCACUUCUGGGAAACCACCGGUAUCCACUGCUUUGGGGAACUCUGGAUGCUCGUUAUGCCAAACGCUCUCAAAGUGAAGGAAGAUGAUUUCCCCCCCAUCUUGACCACCCCCCAGUCUUCGCCGCCAAAAACGGACUCCGCCGGCUAUCCUCGGCCCGGUACCAGUUGUUGGAUCCAAGAGAAUUCCGGAACCCAAACGGUCCAUUACCGCGGCUCUGGGGCUCGCUCAAAGCACUUUAUUGGCAGUGAAACCGCAAGUAACCCGGAGCCCUCGGCGCGACCACGGCUAGAAUCAGAGCCUAAGGCGUGUGAGCUCAGCCAUCCCACGUCUGUCUUCACGCUCAUACGCAAGCCCGACACACCGGGGCUCCCACUUAAUGAAUACUGAAGAGUAGGGCUGUCCCUACCGCUUCUCACUUCCUUGUUUUCAUCUUUUCGUUAUUAUUAAGCGACCUAACACAAUAAACAUAUUACCUUGUUGGUAACCCUUUUGUAAAGUCAUUCUGAAAGUGCUGUUUGACUCCGUUGCUUGGGUAAUAAGCACGCCUGGGUGAUUCUUGCCCCCUACUGGCUGCGCAUCCUACAAGCCUAGUGCUGAAAGCAAACCAAGUAGCUGGAACAGUUGGAGGUUACAGUGUGAACUCUUCCAG